RNAcentral lists this ribosomal RNA (491 nucleotides) under uncultured bacterium. Its description in RNAcentral is "partial 16S ribosomal RNA". It matches the Rfam family "Bacterial small subunit ribosomal RNA", at positions 29 to 506 of the family's 1533-position model. The record is from RNAcentral.
AGUGAACGCUGGCGGUAGGCCUAACACAUGCAAGUCGAACGGCAGCACAGUAAGAGCUUGCUCUUACGGGUGGCGAGUGGCGGACGGGUGAGGAAUACAUCGGAAUCUACUUUUUCGUGGGGGAUAACGUAGGGAAACUUACGCUAAUACCGCAUACGACCUACGGGUGAAAGCAGGGGAUCUUCGGACCUUUCGCGAUUGAAUGAGCCGAUGUCGGAUUAGCUAGUUGGCGGGGUAAAGGCCCACCAAGGCGACGAUCCGUAGCUGGUCUGAGAGGAUGAUCAGCCACACUGGAACUGAGACACGGUCCAGACUCCUACGGGAGGCAGCAGUGGGGAAUAUUGGACAAUGGGCGCAAGCCUGAUCCAGCCAUACCGCGUGGGUGAAGAAGGCCUUCGGGUUGUAAAGCCCUUUUGUUGGGAAAGAAAAGCAGCAGGUUAAUACCCCGCUGUUCUGACGGUACCCAAAGAAUAAGCACCGGCUAACUUCGU